GAUAGAUUUUGUAUUUGGCCAACUCACACUCCACGCAUGUCAGUCGUCCACAAAGUAUAUAAAACAAGCAACACACAAGGAGAAAGAGACAAAAAUAAAAUAACACGUAUCAAAAAAAUUUUUUUUUCUAACAACGUUCAAUGACGUUAACUGGAGUGUGGGGUUCGAGUAGAUGUCAUUCCACCUUUUCAUUUAUCAUUACCAUUCUUUUCGUUCGAUUUUAUUUUUCCUCCACUUUUGUGUUUUUUCUGUCCUUGUGUUGUUCCCUCUGUGUGUCGACGCUGUGUGGUUAAUAAAAAAAAUUAAGUCGUUCUUUUCCUUAACAAGUUCAGGCAUUUAUCCACUCCCAUAUAUUAUUUCUUCACGAAUAUGCUUUCCUUUUUUUCCUCUAACUCUGUGUUUUUCAGUCAUUUUUGAUUGAAUCUCUUGCAAGUUAACAUAGGAUCCCUUGACGAUAAUGUAACCGUCAUUUGAUUAAGGUAUCUUUGGCUCGACGAGUAGCGAGCGGAUUACCUCCUCGUUUAGGUAAUUAUUGUGGAGGCGCGUGGCUUAGUGGUUAGGGUGUCAGCAUCAUGAUCGUAAGAUUGUGGUUUCGAUUCCUGAACCGGGCGACACGUGUUCUUGAGCAAAACACUUCAUUUCACGUUACUCCAGUCCACUCAGCUGGCAAAAAUGAAUAACGCUACGAUGGACUGGCGUCCCGUCCAGCUGGGGAACACAUACGUCAUUGAAAUCGGGAAACCGGGCCCAUGAGCCUGGCUAGGCUUUAAAAGGGCGCAUUUAUUAUUUUUUUUAUUUAGGGAAUUAUUACAUAUGAAACAUAUAUAGCCUGGAUUUUAUCCGCUCCAUUCCCUAACAUAAAAAACUGUGCAUAUACACCCACAUACAAACCCACAGGUUGCCAUAGAAUAACAAACACUAUGUGAUAUAUAAUUCAAACGACAGCAACGUUUUAUCUGAACAAGUUUGGUGUUACACCUCCGAUUAUUUCCAAUGAGAGUAGAAGCACUCAGAGAGAUAGACAGACAGGCAGGCAAGCAGGCAUGCAAGCAGGCAGGCAAGUAGUGGCCGGACAGGUAGGUAAGUAAGUAGACGAAGAAAAUAAACAAUACGUACAUUUCUUAUUUAUCAGCUAGAUGAAGUUAUCAUCAACUAUGCUUUUAAAACUGAACUUAACAGUUAUCUCUUUUUCGGCCUGUUCACACGUGUCUAAUAUGUUUGUGUGUAGGUGUUUGUAUAUGCACACACAUACACACGCAUAUAGGUAUGUGUAAGUGUGUAUAUAUACAUAUAUGUGUGUGUGUGUAAGUGUGUUUGUAUGUCUAUAAAUGUGUGUGUGUGAAGUCGUGUGGUUUGGUGGUUAGGGUACUCGACUCGCGAUCGUAGGGUCACGAGUUCGAUUCCCGGCCGCGCGUUGUGUCCUUGAACAAGACACUUUAUUUCACGUUAUGUGAUUGAAUGCGUGUGCUGCAUAUAUAUAUUGUGUAAUGUCCGUUAUACUUGACCGUUUCUACCAUGUGUUAUCUUCUAUCACGUAUUAUUAUCUCUCGCCUUGUAUCAUUAUCUUUCAUCUUCUCCACCUCACCACCCGUCCCAACAUUCAUGCUGAUCCUUUCACAUCGUAACCAUGAUCUACUUAAACAUAGCUGACAGUAAACUUCCGGUUGUCUGGUUUUAUACCAAAUCAUUGAAAUUAUUGAACCCAAGGCACUUCCAAGACACGACAUUGUAGAAGCUUGCAGCAUGGAUCUCCUUAACUUUGUCAAGUCUUCUCCUAAAAUUCAUUCAACAAGAAAGGUGAACACUGAAUGAAGCGUCUUUAUCCAAUUUUCCCCGCAUUUUCGCUGACGAAACCAAUUACCCCCAGGAAACAGGAAGUGAUUAUUGUUGCUUCAGCAACCUUUGGUUUAUUAUACUUAACAGUUUCUCUUAUCUGCUACAUUAUAAACAAAAUAGGAUCUGUUAUUGAACGUGUUUGUAUACGAAGUCCUUUCUGCACUUCUUACUUGUGGAAACUGAAUGUGCUCGUGUAACGGCAUAUGUAUUGUUUCCCAACUAUAUGGUUCCGGGUUCAGUCUCACUGCAUGGCAUCUUGGGAAAGUGUUUUCUCCUACAGCCUCGGGCCAACCAAAGCCUUGGGAGUGGAUUUGGUUGACAGAAAUUGAAAGAAGCCCGUCGUGUGUGUGUGUGUGUGUGUGUGUGUCUCCCACUAUCAUUUGAGAAUCGGUCUGGAUGUAUUUCCGUCGUCGUAAAUCGGCAGUUCGUAAGAGAGAUCGAUAAAAGUACGAGGCUUAAAAAGACUGUAAUGGGGUCGAUUCAUACGAUUGAAAAUUCUUCAAGGUGGAGCCCCAACAUGGCCGUAGUCUAAUGACUGAAAGAAGUCAACGAUAAAAGAUGACCGUAGACAAGAUUCGAAACACGUAACUAUCGCUUGUUAAGUCACUGCUCUAACUUUUAGACUUCAAAGUGCCAGCUGUUUCCUCUUCAAACAAUAAUCGUCUGGUGAAUAAUUAUCUUGUCGAUAUAAAGUAAUACAGUUAAAACAAUUUAUGGUACUUAAUUAGAGAAGACAGAUUAGCUGGAGUUCUGACAAGGCAAGUGAUACAUACGUGGUUCGGGCUCAGUAACUGCUGCGUGUGUUGAUAAUGUUUAAUAUCCUUUACAUAAGUUGCUUACAGUUGGCUGACGCUAGAUAUUAUAAAUUAAUCUUUCACAAAACUUCAAAUGUGAAUCUCUGGUUAAGUUAAGAUGGAAACUGCAAGUAAAGCCACGACGCAGUGGACGAUAGAGCAUUGCGUGUUUGUCUACGACAGUUACGUGAAGUAUAACGAGUCUGUCACAGCAAUUCACCGUAUGUUUCGAUACCACUUCAACAUUCACCGAAAUCAAGCUGUUCCCACCCGUAACACAAUCUUACGUUGGGUGAAUGCACUUCAUACACGAGGUACACUAAUGAAUAGGAGACCGGUGGGGGCGCCACGAGCGGUACGGACCUCGGAAAAUGUGCAACGCGUCAAACAAGCUUUCAGAAAUGCAUCAACGAAAAUGGACACCAAAUGUUGGAUGUUGUUUUUAACACUUGAUUUUGACAAAUACUAAUUCAUUACAAACUCGUUGAUGUCAAUAAAACUUGUUUGCAGCUAAAA
Molecule: long non-coding RNA, 3146 nt
Organism: Octopus bimaculoides (California two-spot octopus)
Lineage: Eukaryota; Metazoa; Mollusca; Cephalopoda; Octopoda; Octopodidae
Source: RefSeq, a predicted model, not a curated record